This is a regulatory RNA element of 107 nucleotides. It matches the Rfam family "Coronavirus packaging signal". From Rfam's summary of the family: The family was reviewed in 2020 to ensure that all 4 AGC/GUAAU elements were present in SS_cons and to include more sequences in the seed. The record is from Rfam.
AUGUUAUCUUCAGCCGAACAGACAGCCUAUGCUCAAGCCAUUACUGGAGCCCACAAGGUAAUCUAGGUGGUAAUUGCGCGGGUAAUGUCAUUGGUAAUGAUGCUCUA